RNAcentral lists this ribosomal RNA (469 nucleotides) under uncultured bacterium. RNAcentral's name for it is "bacterial SSU rRNA". It matches the Rfam family "Bacterial small subunit ribosomal RNA", at positions 335 to 799 of the family's 1533-position model. The record is from RNAcentral.
ACUCCUACGGGAGGCAGCAGUGAGGAAUAUUGGUCAAUGGAGGCAACUCUGAACCAGCCAUGCCGCGUGCAGGAAGACUGCCCUAUGGGUUGUAAACUGCUUUUUAUACGGGAAGAAACAGUCCUACGUGUAGGACCUUGACGGUACCGUAAGAAUAAGCACCGGCUAACUCCGUGCCAGCAGCCGCGGUAAUACGGAGGGUGCAAGCGUUAUCCGGAAUCAUUGGGUUUAAAGGGUCCGCAGGCGGUCAAUUAAGUCAGAGGUGAAAUCCCACAGCUUAACUGUGGAACUGCCUUUGAUACUGGUUGACUUGAGUUAUACGGAAGUAGAUAGAAUGUGUAGUGUAGCGGUGAAAUGCAUAGAUAUUACACAGAAUACCGAUUGCGAAGGCAGUCUACUACGUAUAUACUGACGCUCAUGGACGAAAGCGUGGGAGCGAACAGGAUUAGAUACCCCUGGUAGGAUAGCG